UUCUGCCUAUGGGAGGCAGCAGUAGGGAAUCUUCCACAAUGGACGAAAGUCUGAUGGAGCAACGCCGCGUGAGCGAAGAAGGGUUUCGGCUCGUAAAGCUCUGUUGGUAGUGAAGAAAGAGAGAGGUAGUAACUGGCCUUUAUUUGACGGUAAUUACUUAGAAAGUCACGGCUAACUACGUGCCAGCAGCCGCGGUAAUACGUAGGUGGCAAGCGUUGUCCGGAUUUAUUGGGCGUAAA
This 239-nucleotide ribosomal RNA is filed under the name uncultured bacterium. RNAcentral's name for it is "partial 16S ribosomal RNA". It matches the Rfam family "Bacterial small subunit ribosomal RNA", at positions 334 to 564 of the family's 1533-position model. The record is from RNAcentral.